AAAGAAGUGGGUAGUUUAACCUUUCGGGGAGGACGCUCACCACUUUGUGGUUCAUGACUGGGGUGAAGUCGUAACAAGGUAGCCCUAGGGGAACCUGGGGCUGGAUCACCUCCUUAUACGAAGAUA
RNAcentral lists this ribosomal RNA (126 nucleotides) under Vibrio gigantis. Its description in RNAcentral is "partial 16S ribosomal RNA". It matches the Rfam family "Bacterial small subunit ribosomal RNA", at positions 1420 to 1533 of the family's 1533-position model. Lineage: Bacteria; Pseudomonadati; Pseudomonadota; Gammaproteobacteria; Vibrionales; Vibrionaceae. The record is from RNAcentral.